GACUUUCUCGAAAAGCACAUCGACUAAAUUCUUAGUGAGAGAAAAUAAAUGAAAGAAAUUUUAGAGAGAGAGAGUGAGAGGUGAGAAAAGAAAACACGUUUCUGGAUGAUUUUGAAAGUUGGACAUCUAUUUAUAGGUUAGCACAAAAAAGUAAAAAAAAAAUAUGGCCUUUUAGGACUUACCAAUCGAUUAUACACCAAUUGACUGGUUGUCUUCAAAUUAACCGAUUACCAAGUUAAAAAUGAAAAAGAAAG
This 254-nucleotide long non-coding RNA is filed under the name Lathyrus oleraceus (garden pea). RNAcentral describes it as "Pisum sativum (pea) long non-coding RNA (PSAT_LNC014424)". Lineage: Eukaryota; Viridiplantae; Streptophyta; Magnoliopsida; Fabales; Fabaceae. The record is from RNAcentral.